UGGGGAAUUGUUCGCAAUGGGCGCAAGCCUGACGACGCAACGCCGCGUGGAGGAUGAAGAUCUUCGGGUCGUAAACUCCUUUCGAUCGAGACGAAUGGCUUUCGGGUGAACAGCCCGGGAGAAUGACGGUACCGAGAGAAGAAGCCCCGGCUAACUCCGUGCCAGCAGCCGCGGUAAUACGGGGGGGGCAAGCGUUGUUCGGAAUUACUGGGCGUAAAGGGCUCGUAGGUGGCCAACUAAGUCAAUCGUGAAAUCCCUCGGCUUAACCGGGGAACUGCGCUUGAUACUGGAUGGCUUGAGUUUGGGAGAGGGAUGCGGAAUUCCAGGUGUAGCGGUGAAAUGCGUAGAUAUCUGGAGGAACACCGGUGGCGAAGGCGGCAUCCUGGACCAAUACUGACGCUGAGGAGCGAAAGCUAGGGGAGCAAA
RNAcentral lists this ribosomal RNA (426 nucleotides) under uncultured bacterium. Its description in RNAcentral is "bacterial SSU rRNA". It matches the Rfam family "Bacterial small subunit ribosomal RNA", at positions 355 to 772 of the family's 1533-position model. The record is from RNAcentral.